GGUUAAGCGACUAAGCGUACACGGUGGAUGCCCUGGCAGUCAGAGGCGAUGAAGGACGUGCUAAUCUGCGAUAAGCGUCGGUAAGGUGAUAUGAACCGUUAUAACCGGCGAUUUCCGAAUGGGGAAACCCAGUGUGAUUCGUCACACUAUCAUUAACUGAAUCCAUAGGUUAAUGAGGCGAACCGGGGGAACUGAAACAUCUAAGUACCCCGAGGAAAAGAAAUCAACCGAGAUUCCC
Molecule: ribosomal RNA, 238 nt
Filed under: Escherichia coli
Lineage: Bacteria; Pseudomonadati; Pseudomonadota; Gammaproteobacteria; Enterobacterales; Enterobacteriaceae
Description: partial 23S ribosomal RNA
Rfam family: Bacterial large subunit ribosomal RNA
Source: RNAcentral